RNAcentral lists this ribosomal RNA (464 nucleotides) under Hemigrapsus takanoi. RNAcentral's name for it is "partial 16S ribosomal RNA". The stretch from base 332 to 464 matches the Rfam family "Bacterial large subunit ribosomal RNA", at positions 2473 to 2605 of the family's 2925-position model. Lineage: Eukaryota; Metazoa; Arthropoda; Malacostraca; Decapoda; Varunidae. The record is from RNAcentral.
UGCAAAGGUAGCAUAAUCGUUAGUUUUUUAAUUGGAAUCUUGUAUGAAUGGUUGGACAAAAAAAAAUCUGUCUUUAUAUUGUUUAUUGAAUUUAACUUUUAAGUGAAAAGGCUUAAAUAAAUUAAAGGGACGAUAAGACCCUAUAAAGCUUAAUAUUAACAUUUUACUUAGUUAAAUUUUCUUGUUUAUAAAAACUUAGUAAUUGAAUUUAUUUUAUUGGGGCGAUAAAGGUAAAAUGACUACUAACUGCUUAAUUUUUUUAUACAUUUAUAAAUGAAUUAGGAAAUAAAUGAUCCUUAAUAUAAAGAUUAAAAGUUUAAGUUACUUUAGGGAUAACAGCGUUAUUUUUCUUAAGAGUACAUAUCGAAAGAAAAUUUUGCGACCUCGAUGUUGAAUUAAAAUACCUUUAUAAUUGCAGCAGUUAUAUAAGUAGGUCUGUUCGACCUUUAAAAUUUUACAUGAUU